Molecule: ribosomal RNA, 254 nt
Filed under: uncultured bacterium
Lineage: Bacteria
Description: partial 16S ribosomal RNA
Rfam family: Bacterial small subunit ribosomal RNA
Source: RNAcentral
UACGUAGGGUGCAAGCGUUGUCCGGAAUUAUUGGGCGUAAAGAGCUCGUAGGCGGUGUGUCGCGUCGGCCGUGAAAACCUGGGGCUCAACUCUGGGCGUGCGGUCGAUACGGGCAUCACUUGAGUUCGGCAGGGGAGACUGGAAUUCCUGGUGUAGCGGUGAAAUGCGCAGAUAUCAGGAGGAACACCGGUGGCGAAGGCGGGUCUCUGGGCCGUAACUGACGCUGAGGAGCGAAAGCGUGGGGAGCGAACAGG